Long non-coding RNA from Drosophila biarmipes, 859 nucleotides. RefSeq lists it as uncharacterized. The transcript is spliced from 2 exons. The record is from RefSeq and is a predicted model, not a curated record. NCBI's taxonomy places the organism in Eukaryota, Metazoa, Arthropoda, Insecta, Diptera, Drosophilidae.
UCGCCGCCCUCGUGUGGAUUCAUUGUUUCUUAACCGUCAUCAAUUUGCGGCUUGUUCCAAAAUCACCAAGAUUUAUAUAACAGGUGCUCGCGGCGAAAUUUGCACUGCGCAAUACGCGCAUUGGCAUCCCACAUUGGGUGCAUUGGCAAACAUUAGGACGCGCUUGUGCAACUUAGUUUCACCUUCGUCAUUGCAGCGCCCGUAACCCACUGAUAUCUCGGCGUAGAGGAAGCGCACAUCGGCUGCCUUGAUCUCCUCGCUACAAUCUCGUCGGCACCCAAGGGCGGUGCUGUUGCAAACAUCAUUGCUGGAGCCACCGGAGAUUGGUGAGCCCCAAACAUCACAUCCUACAGGGUGCGCACAGCGGCUGCGUUCCUAACCUCCACAUCGUCACAGGAGAUCAUCAGCGGGAUUCAACCUACCUCGAAAAAUGCCAGCAACACACUAAUAAUUGUUUGAAAUGUAUUGCCUUUUCUGAUAAGUCUGGUAAAGAUGAAGGUUUCACAGCAUUCCCAAACGCCCGUAACCCACUGAUAUCUCGGCGUAGAGGAAGCGCACAUCGGCUGCCUUAAUCUCCUCGCUACAAUCUCGUCGGCACCCAAGGGCGGUGCUGUUGCAAACAUCAUUGCUGGAGCCACCGGAGAUUGGUCAGCCCCAAACAUCACAUCCUACAGGGUGCGCACAGCGGCUGCGUUCCUAACCUCCAUAUCGUCACAGGAGAUCAUCAGCGGGAUUCAACCUACCUCCUUGUGGGACACCGAGAAGUUCAUCCCCAAUCAUUAUAUUUUAAAUGGAUGUAUCAAAAAGGCGUUCGAUUUACGAUAACUAUUAAAGGCAAAUAAUAAUGAAUUAGCAUGGA